GAUGAACGCUGGCGGCGUGCCUAAUACAUGCAAGUCGAGCGAACAGAUGAGGAGCUUGCUCCUCUGACGUUAGCGGCGGACGGGUGAGUAACACGUGGAUAACCUACCUAUAAGACUGGGAUAACUUCGGGAAACCGGAGCUAAUACCGGAUAAUAUAUUGAACCGCAUGGUUCAAUAGUGAAAGACGGUUUUGCUGUCACUUAUAGAUGGAUCCGCGCCGCAUUAGCUAGUUGGUAAGGUAAAGGCUUACCAAGGCAACGAUGCGUAGCCGACCGGAGAGGGUGAUCGGCCACCCUGGAACUGAGACACGGUCCAGACUCCUACGGGAGGCAGCAGUAGGGAAUCUUCCGCAAUGGGCGAAAGCCUGACGGAGCAACGCCGCGUGAGUGAUGAAGGUCUUCGGAUCGUAAAACUCUGUUAUUAGGGAAGAACAAAUGUGUAAGUAACUAUGCACGUCUUGACGGUACCUAAUCAGAAAGCCACGGCUAACUACGUG
This 497-nucleotide ribosomal RNA is filed under the name uncultured bacterium. RNAcentral's name for it is "partial 16S ribosomal RNA". It matches the Rfam family "Bacterial small subunit ribosomal RNA", at positions 28 to 507 of the family's 1533-position model. The record is from RNAcentral.